UUUUCUGCCACCGAAUACAUUAGCAUGGGAUAAUGGAAUAGGACCCUGUCCUCCUAUUUUCAGUUGGUUUUGGCAGCGCGAGGACUAGGGUAAUGAUUAAUAGGGAUAGUUGGGGGCAUUAAUAUUUAAUUGUCAGAGGUGAAAUUCUUGGAUUUAUGAAAGAUUAACUUCUGCGAAAGCAUCUGCCAAGGAUGUUUUCAUUAAUCAAGAACGAAAGUUAGGGGAUCGAAGACGAUCAGAUACCGUCGUAGUCUUAACCAUAAACGAUGCCGACCAGCGAUUAGGAGACGUUGAAUACAAAACACCACCAUCGGUGCGGUCGUCCUUGGCGUCGGUCUUUCGGGGCCGGCGCGGGGGCGGCUUAGCCCGGUGGCACCGGUGAAUGACUCCCCUACCAGCUUGUGAGA
This 407-nucleotide ribosomal RNA is filed under the name Acanthamoeba sp. CHI1203. RNAcentral's name for it is "SSU rRNA". It matches the Rfam family "Eukaryotic small subunit ribosomal RNA", at positions 785 to 1095 of the family's 1831-position model. Lineage: Eukaryota; Discosea; Longamoebia; Acanthamoebidae. The record is from RNAcentral.